RNAcentral lists this ribosomal RNA (510 nucleotides) under uncultured bacterium. Its description in RNAcentral is "partial 16S ribosomal RNA". It matches the Rfam family "Bacterial small subunit ribosomal RNA", at positions 28 to 507 of the family's 1533-position model. The record is from RNAcentral.
GACGAACGCUGGCGGCGUGCUUAACACAUGCAAGUCGAACGAAGAGCGAUGGAAGCUUGCUUCUCUCAAUCUUAGUGGCGAACGGGUGAGUAACGCGUAAUCAACCUGCCCUUCAGAGGGGGACAACAGUUGGAAACGACUGCUAAUACCGCAUACGAUCUAAUCUCGGCAUCGAGGAUAGAUGAAAGGUGGCCUCUACAUGUAAGCUAUCACUGAAGGAGGGGAUUGCGUCUGAUUAGCUAGUUGGAGGGGUAACGGCCCACCAAGGCGAUGAUCAGUAGCCGGUCUGAGAGGAUGAACGGCCACAUUGGGACUGAGACACGGCCCAGACUCCGACGGGAGGGAGCAGUGGGGGAUCUUCCGAAAUGGACGAAAGUCUGACGGAGCAACGCCGCGGGAGUGAUGACGGCCUUCGGGUUGGAAAGCUCUGUUAAUCGGGACGAAAGGCCUUCUUGCGAAUAGUGAGAAGGAUUGACGGUACCGGAAUAGAAAGCCACGGCUAACUACGUG